ACUGUAAAAUUAAAGCUUCUAAGGUUUUUUUCUUGCUCUAAAUUGCUGUUUUUUCUAUUCUCAGAUACCCCAAAAGAGAUGAGGAGAGUAGAUGUGGAGAGCAGACUCUAAGUAUUGCCAAAGCAAGCUGGUCGCUGGGACUUCCUCCCAACCAUUGCUUGUAUUUCCCCCACCUCAUCCCCGUGGUUACCUCCACUUAGCCUCAGCAGGGUCAAGAUCAUAAAAGGCAAAAUACAAAAGAAGAAGUCAGGAACCAAGGUCAAGAACAAGAACAUCGAGAAAGAGGGGUCGGAAGGCAUCUCAGCUGAACCUCCAAGGAGAGAGGCAAGAACAGGAAUGGACCAUUUGGGGAGAAGGAUGCCAAUGACAUUUGGAAUGUCAGCUAAGACCAGAGAUUUAAUGGGAAAGAAGAAGACAAUUGUUUGGAGGCAUCAUGGAUUUAACCCAUAUCCAUUUCAAUAUCCUCUUACUUCUCCAUCUCUAUCUUCAGCUGUGCACAAGGAUUCCAGAAUGAUUAGCAUGGGGACUUGCAUGAUCUCACAGCCAAAGGAAAAUAUCUAAGCAGCUUUAGUCAGUGUACUCUAUCUAUUAAGGCAGGAAAUGAUUUUCAAUAAAAGAAAUUGAAAACAAGGAAACUCUAGACUC
This 645-nucleotide long non-coding RNA is filed under the name Vombatus ursinus (common wombat). RNAcentral's name for it is "lncRNA (ENSVURG00010005795.1)". The record is from RNAcentral. Lineage: Eukaryota; Metazoa; Chordata; Mammalia; Diprotodontia; Vombatidae.